This 302-nucleotide long non-coding RNA is filed under the name Nicotiana benthamiana. RNAcentral's name for it is "long non-coding RNA (NBEN_LNC024191)". Lineage: Eukaryota; Viridiplantae; Streptophyta; Magnoliopsida; Solanales; Solanaceae. The record is from RNAcentral.
AAACUAAUGAUAUUUCUGUACGUUUAGGAGGUUGUCUACUAAAAGUGGGAGUUUGUACGGGUGGGUGUGCCGGUUCAUCACCUAAGUUAUGGCAGGACUAGUAGGUGUAUCAUCUAAAUCUACUGGAGCUUGGGUUUCAUGUUCAUCAUCAUCCUCAUUUCCCUCUAAGAUAGGUGCAUUAGGAUAAAGAGUAUUCAUAAUAUCAUCGUAUAUUCUAUCACCAACUGCUACAUCUUGUAGAAAAUCAAUAUCGCUAAAUUGAAAACAAGGGUGAUCACUAUCAAGGAUUUCGAAGGGUUCAU